This 5255-nucleotide long non-coding RNA is filed under the name Populus tremula. RNAcentral describes it as "long non-coding RNA (PTRE_LNC002244)". Lineage: Eukaryota; Viridiplantae; Streptophyta; Magnoliopsida; Malpighiales; Salicaceae. The record is from RNAcentral.
CUGACUCAAAAGCAAACAACACACAAGCUGAAACCGAAGGAAAUUCUACUGACGUCCUGCCGGUAGAAUAUCAGGAUUAUCUGAAUACAAAGGAGACAUAUUCAAAAACGACUCGAAAGAACAUUUAAUCUAUUUAAUACACUUAACUAAGGGUGUAUUCCGUAACCCUAUAUAUUAUAGUCAAUUUUCUUAAAAACCCAAAAUCUAACGGUUUUCCCGAAAUCUAAUCCAUAAUAAAAACAACUAAUAAAAUUGGUAAUAAUUCACUAAAUAACCCUUAAUUAUUCAUCAAACUAAUCUGCAAAAGCUAAUAUUACAGCUAGGGACUAAUCUGGAAUUUUUCCAUAUUUUUAGGGCCAAAUUGUAACUUUUCAAAUGGAGGACCAAACUGAAAUUUGUCAUAAAUCCAUGAAUAUACUGAAAUUCUGACCUUAAUUAAUCCUCAAUUCUGUCCAGGAUGUAUCAUUAUGCUUCAGGGAUCAUUCUGGAAUUUUACUAAAUUUUUAGGGUCAAAUCGUACUUUUUGUCAAAUUGAAGGACUAAAUUGAAAGUGUUAAAUUAUCUUAUCUAUACAGUAAUUAUGUCCAUAAUUUAAAUGCUAUUCUGUUCAGAAUCUCGGAAUAUGCUCCAGGGACCAAUUUGUAAUUUUCCAAAGUUCGGGGACUAAACUGUAAUUUUCGGAAAUUGAGGGACCAAAUUGAAUUUUCGUCAUCUUCAACCUCCAGUCCAGAUUUUAACAGAAACCCCACUGUUCUCCCCUGAUUUCUAACUCAAUUUUCACCAUUUACACAAUUCUAUAACUCAAAAUCAUCAUAAUCUUCCAUAAUCAACUAAAUCAUCAAUUAAACACAACAAUCAACCCCUAACCUUCAAUUUAAUUCAUCAAUUUAAAUCAAACACAAAUUCUCAAAACCCUAACAUUCAUAAAAACUGAAAUUAAAGCUUAAUUAACAUAUUAUACACAUUAAACAACCUAAAUCUUACCUUUUUCACUUAUUUCCUCCAAAACUCUUCCUUUUUCCCUUAUUUUCCCUCUUUUCUCUUCUUCUUCUUUCCUUCUUCUCACUCUCCGAUUCUCUUCUCUCAAAUCAGAUUUCUAUUUUUUUUUUUUUUACUUCCUAUUUAUAUUUAUCAAUAUUUAUCAAUUACUACUAUACCCCUUAUUUAAUUUAUUCCUACAUCUAAGCCUCAAGGGCUUUCUAGUUUUCCUAUCUAUUAAUUCAAAACAUUACAAUCUCCCCACCUUAUAAAAGUUUCGUCCUCGAAACUUAAUAGAAAAGAUUGAGUACUUACCGAGAUUAUCGAAAAGAUGAGGAUACUCCUCACGCAUCUUAUCCUCGAGCUCCCAUGUCGCUUCCUCACGUGAAUGGCCUUUCCAUUUCACUUUCACUGAAGCUAUGUCCUUCGACCUAAGCUUCCUCACUUGUCGGUCGACUAUAGCUUCCGGUUGCACCUCAUAAACCAUAUCAUCCCUCAAGUCAAUAGGAUGAACCUCUAACACAUGCGAUGGAUCUGACAUAUAUUUCCUUAACAUGGAAACAUGAAAUACCGGAUGAAUAGCAGACAAGUUUGGUGGUAAUGCUAACCGAUAAGCAACUGCCCCAACUCUCUCCAGAAUCUCAUACGGUCCAAUGAAUCGAGGACUCAACUUGCCUUUCUUCCCAAACCUGAAUACUCCUUUUGUAGGUGAUACUUUUAAGAACACACAAUCACCCACUGAAAACUCUAAGUCACGCCUUCUUCUAUCUGCGUAACUUUUAUGUCUACUCUGAGCUGUUUGAAGCUUCUUUCUAAUUACCUCAAUCUUCUCUGAGGUAAUCUGAAUCAACUCCGGUCCCAUUAGCCUCUUCUCACCAACCUCAAACCAACAAACCGGUGAUCUACACUUCCGACCAUACAAAGCCUCAUAAGGUGCCAUCUCUAUGCUAGCCUGAUAACUGUUGUUGUAAGCAAAUUCCACUAAUGGUAGGAACUUACUCCAACCAACUCCAAAAUCCAUAACACAAGCCCUUAACAUAUCCUCCAAGGUCUGAAUAGUCCUCUCAGACUGACCAUCUGUCUGAGGGUGAAAAGCUGUACUCAACUGCACCUUAGUACCCAUAGCUUCUUGAAAUUUCACCCAAAACCGCGAUGUAAACUGUGGACCUCUAUCAGACACUAUCGAGAUUGGCACUCCAUGCAACCGUACAAUCUCACUAAUAAACAAUUCCGCCAACUUUGCAUAUCCAUAAGUAAUCUUAACUGGCAGAAAAUGGGCUGAUUUGGUCAACCUGUCAACAAUCACCCAUAUCGAAUCAUAACCCUCCUGACUCCUAGGCAAUCCUGUCACAAAGUCCAUUGUGAUCCUUUCCCACUUCCAUUCUGGAAUCAACAAUGGUUGUAACAAUCCAGGAGGUUUCUGGUGUUCACCCUUUACCCUCUGACAGGUCAAACACCUAGAAACAAAAUCUGCUACAUCAGCCUUCAUCCUAUUCCACCAAUAACACACCUUAAGGUCUUUAUACAUCUUGGUGGAACCUGGAUGCAUUGUGUAAACUGUCUGAUGUGCCUCUAUCAUCAAUUCUCUCCUCAGAUCAUCAACAUCAGGUACACAAAGCCUAUCCCUAUAUCUCAGCACAUCAUCAUCACCAAUCACAAAACUUGCAGCCUUACCCUGCUCAACCUCAUUUCUAAUCCUGAGUAGUGAAUCAUCUUUCUUCUGAGCUGCUUUUAUCUUAUCAAACAAAUCUGACUUAACCUGAAAAUGAGCAAUCAUUGCUCCAGCUUCACUAAGAUCAAAUCUGACUCCUUCAUCCACUAACUCAUGCAGCUCCCUAAUCAGAGGUCUUCGUACCUCCUGAAUAUGAGCUAAGCUCCCUGAUGAUUUUCUACUCAAAGCAUCGGCAACUACAUUUGCCCUACCCGGGUGGUACUGUAUGGUACAAUCAUAAUCCUUCAGUAGUUCCAUCCAUCUCCUCUGCCUCAGGUUUAGAUCUUCUGCUGAAAGAUGUAUUUCAAACUCUUGUGAUCUGUAAAGAUCUCACAAGUUUCACCAUACAAGUAGUGCCUCCAAAUCUUCAAAGCAAAAAUUACAGCCGCCAUCUCUAAAUCAUGUGUAGGAUAGUUCUGUUCAUGCUUCUUCAGCUGCCGUGAAGCAUAGGCAAUAACCUUGCCAUGCUGCAUUAGAACACAUCCUAACCCCACUCUCGAAGCAUCACAAUACACUGUGUAACCACCAGAACCUGAUGGUACUGCUAGAAUAGGCGCUGUAGUCAAUCUCUCCUUCAACUCUAAGAAACUUUUCUCACAAGCUUCAGACCACUGAAACUUAACAUUUUUCUGCGUUAACUUAGUCAAUGGUGCAGAAAUUCGAGAAAAGUUCUCCACAAACCUCCGAUAGUAGCCGGCCAAACCUAAGAAACUUCUAAUCUCUGUCGCCGAAGUAGGCCUAAGCCACUGCUUAACUGCUUCAAUCUUUUGAGGAUCAACCUCAAUCCCAUUCCUUGACACUACAUGCCCAAGAAAUGCUACACUCUCCAACCAAAACUCACUCUUUGAGAACUUGCCAUACAACUGAUGAUCUCGCAGAGUUUGAAGCACCAUUCUCAAAUGCUGCUCAUGCUCCUCUCUAGACCUCGAAUACACCAAAAUAUCAUCAAUAAAAACUAUCACAAAUCGAUCAAUAAAUUGGCCAAACACUCUAUUCAUCAAGUCCAUAAAAGCUGCUGGUGCAUUCGUCAACCCAAAAGACAUCACUAAAAACUCAUAAUGACCAUACCGAGUUCUAAAAGCUGUCUUUGAAAUGUCUCCUCCCUAAUCCUCAACUGAUGAUACCCAGAUCGAAGAUCGAUCUUAGAAAAGAAUUGAGCUCCCUGUAACUGAUCAAACAAAUCAUCUAUACGAGGGAGUGGGUAUCUAUUUCGAACUGUCACCCGAUUCAAUUGCCUAUAAUCUAUACACAACCUCAAUGACCCAUCUUUCUUCUUCACAAACAACACCGGAGCUCCCCAAGGGGACACACUUGGUCGGAUGAACUUUUUAUCCAAUAAAUCCUGCAGCUGCUCCUUUAACUCCUCAAUUCUGCUGGCGCCAUUCUAUAUGGUGCCAUUGAUAUUGGUUCAGUGCCCGGAACCAAAUCAAUACAAAACUCAAUCUCCCUAUACGGAGGCAAUCCAGGUAAGUCAUCAGGAAAGACAUCGAUAAACUCUCUUACUAUAGGGACUUCCUCUAACUGGGGAACUUCUUUCUCUACAUCCACUAUAUAUGCUAGGUAGCACUGUACCCCUUUUCGGGCCAUUUUCCUCGAGAUAGCCGACAACAUAAUUGAUGGAGACCCAAUCUUAUCUCCUUGAAAUACCAACCCAACUUCUUGAUCUAGAUCAAACAUUAUUUUCUUACCCCAACAAUUUACCGAAGCCCUAUGCUUAGCCAACCAAUCCAUUCCCAAAAUCACAUCAAAAUCAACCAUAUCUAAGACAUUUAAGUCUCCCAUAAAGAUCUUAUCUCCAAUCUCUAUUUCACAAUCCAGAUACACAUACUUUACUAAUAUUAACUCAUCUAAGGGAGUGGAGACUGAAAUGGGGGAUUUUAACAAGGUUGGUUGUUUAUCUAACCUCAUGGCAAAAUAUGGGGACACAAACGAAUGAGUUGCACCCGUAUCAAACAAAACUUUUGCUUCAAAAGAGCAAACAGGAAGAAUACCUGAAACAACUGUGUUGGAUGCCUGAGCAUCCUGCUGAGUCAAGGCAAAAACUCUAGCAUGCCCCUGACCCUGCUGUAUCUGACCUCUAUCACCUGCACCCCGACCUCUUUGACCACGGCCACCAAAACCUCUACCCCCAUGAGCCACAGACUGGCUCGUCGAUGGUGCCUGAAUAGGCUGCUGGACUGAAGCAGAUAACCCCGAAGUGGACAACUGUCUCCUCGGGCACUCUCUAAUCUUAUGACCUAUCUGGCCACAACUAAAACAAGCCCCGGUCCUUCUAUAGCACUCUGCACUGUUAUGACCUCCUCCACAGUGCUGACACAAAGAAUUAUCCCCAUAUGAAACAAAUGAACUACGAGGUGCAGUCUGAACUAAACUCUGGGACCACUACUGCCACUCUGACUGCCUGAGCCACUAACUGAUGGUCUCUGUCUAAACCUCCUCUGAACCCAUGAGCCCUGACGGCCACUUCGUCCCCUAAACGGACCUGCACUUAAUCCCUGUUGCCUAAAAGACUGACCCUCUUCUCUAGGCCUCUUAGACUGGCCAACAGUCAUGUCCUCUAUUUCAC